GGCUCACCAAGGCGACGAUCCGUAACUGGUCUGAGAGGAUGAUCAGUCACACUGGAACUGAGACACGGUCCAGACUCCUACGGGAGGCAGCAGUGGGGAAUAUUGGACAAUGGGCGAAAGCCUGAUCCAGCCAUGCCGCGUGUGUGAAGAAGGUCUUCGGAUUGUAAAGCACUUUAAGUUGGGAGGAAGGGCAGUAAAUUAAUACUUUGCUGUUUUGACGUUACCGACAGAAUAAGCACCGGCUAACUCUGUGCCAGCAGCCGCGGUAAUACAGAGGGUGCAAGCGUUAAUCGGAAUUACUGGGCGUAAAGCGCGCGUAGGUGGUUAGUUAAGUUGGAUGUGAAAUCCCCGGGCUCAACCUGGGAACUGCAUUCAAAACUGACUGACUAGAGUAUGGUAGAGGGUGGUGGAAUUUCCUGUGUAGCGGUGAAAUGCGUAGAUAUAGGAAGGAACACCAGUGGCGAAGGCGACCACCUGGACUGAUACUGACACUGAGGUGCGAAAGCGUGGGGAGCAAACAGG
Molecule: ribosomal RNA, 522 nt
Filed under: Pseudomonas brenneri
Lineage: Bacteria; Pseudomonadati; Pseudomonadota; Gammaproteobacteria; Pseudomonadales; Pseudomonadaceae
Description: bacterial SSU rRNA
Rfam family: Bacterial small subunit ribosomal RNA
Source: RNAcentral